UACGUAGGUGGCGAGCGUUGUCCGGAUUUAUUGGGUUUAAAGGGUGCGCAGGCGGCUUUGUAAGUUAGAGGUGAAAUUUCGGUGCUCAACAUCGAAACUGCCUCUGAUACUGCAGGGCUAGAGACCAGUUGCAGAAGGCGGAAUGUGUAGUGUAGCGGUGAAAUGCUUAGAUAUUACACAGAACACCGAUUGCGAAGGCAGCUUUCUAAGCUGGAUCUGACGCUGAGGCACGAAAGCGUGGGGAGCGAACAGG
This 253-nucleotide ribosomal RNA is filed under the name uncultured bacterium. RNAcentral describes it as "partial 16S ribosomal RNA". It matches the Rfam family "Bacterial small subunit ribosomal RNA", at positions 524 to 776 of the family's 1533-position model. The record is from RNAcentral.